CACGUAGGGGGCAAGCGUUGUCCGGAUUUAUUGGGCGUAAAGAGCUCGUAGGCGGUUUGUCGCGUCUGCUGUGAAAACGCGAGGCUCAACCUCGCGCCUGCAGUGGGUACGGGCAGACUAGAGUGCGGUAGGGGAGAUUGGAAUUCCUGGUGUAGCGGUGGAAUGCGCAGAUAUCAGGAGGAACACCGAUGGCGAAGGCAGAUCUCUGGGCCGUAACUGACGCUGAGGAGCGAAAGCGUGGGGAGCGAACAGG
This 253-nucleotide ribosomal RNA is filed under the name uncultured bacterium. RNAcentral's name for it is "partial 16S ribosomal RNA". It matches the Rfam family "Bacterial small subunit ribosomal RNA", at positions 524 to 776 of the family's 1533-position model. The record is from RNAcentral.